This 150-nucleotide ribosomal RNA is filed under the name uncultured Ochrophyta. RNAcentral's name for it is "partial small subunit ribosomal RNA". It matches the Rfam family "Eukaryotic small subunit ribosomal RNA", at positions 1662 to 1811 of the family's 1831-position model. The record is from RNAcentral.
GUACACACCGCCCGUCGCACCUACCGAUUGAAUGGUCCGGUGAAGCCUCGGGAUUGUGACCAGUUUCCUUUAUUGGGAGUUGGUUGUGAGAACUUGUCUAAACCUUAUCAUUUAGAGGAAGGUGAAGUCGUAACAAGGUUUCCGUAGGUG